GGCAACGCAGCUUCCAUGAGAUCAGACAUAACCAGUUUGCAGCCAGCUCCAGUGCCUCAGUGCUUGCUGAUAACUUCUACCAAGCAACAGCUGGGAGAAAUGCUCAAAACCCUUCUCUUCACUUCCCUCACCUGGAAACCUGGGCAGCAGUGAAAGCAGCCAGAAUUGCAUAGCAGGCCAUGAGAACAGCUGACAUGUCUAAGCAAUCAACUGCAGGCUUCUGAUAGAUUUCCAAAAUAUCUCCAGCAAACAAAGGCAAUGGGGCAAGGUUAACAUUCUGCAAGACUCUCUCUGAAAUGCAAGGAAACAGAGAGAGCAAAGAGUGUGAGUCAGGGCUGUAAUGUGUGCAUGCAUGCUGCCAUAAAGCAGUUCAGCCUA
This is a long non-coding RNA of Gavialis gangeticus (Gharial), 378 nucleotides long. RefSeq lists it as uncharacterized. Lineage: Eukaryota; Metazoa; Chordata; Crocodylia; Gavialidae. The transcript has 3 exons. The record is from RefSeq and is a predicted model, not a curated record.